AUAUCAGUAAGCGGAGGAAAAGAAAUCAACAGAGAUUGCCUUAGUAGGGGCGACUGAACAGGCAACAGCCCAGCAUUAAAAUCUCCGGCUUCUGGCCGGCGAAUUGUAAUCUGCAGAGCCAGGUUUGUGAUUGGUACUAGCAUAAGUGGCAUGGAAUGGCACACCAAAGAGGGUGAAAAUCCCGUAGUAGGCUAGGCACCAAGUAGCACUCAUGGCUUCAAAGAGUCGAACAUCUUGGGAUUGAUGUUCCAAUCGGGAGAUAGACUUCUUCCAAGGCUAAAUACAGGUGGGAGACCGAUAGCGCACAAGUA
RNAcentral lists this ribosomal RNA (311 nucleotides) under uncultured eukaryote. Its description in RNAcentral is "partial large subunit ribosomal RNA". It matches the Rfam family "Eukaryotic large subunit ribosomal RNA", at positions 40 to 350 of the family's 3401-position model. The record is from RNAcentral.